GAUGAACGCUGGCGGCGUGCCUAAUACAUGCAAGUCGAGCGAACAGACGAGGAGCUUGCUCCCCUGCCGUUAGCGGCUGACGGGUGAGUAACACGUGGAUAACCUACCUAUUAGUCUGGGAUAAUUUCGGGAAACCGGAGAUAAUAAUGGAUAAUAUAUUCAACCGCAUGGUUCAAUAGUGAUAGACGCUUUUCAUGUCUCUUAUAGACGGUUCCGCGUUGGAUUAGCUAGGUGGUAAGGUAACGGCAUACCAAGGCGACGAUCCGUAGCCGACCUGAGAGGGUGAUCAGCCACACUGGAACUGAGACACGGUCCAGACACCUACGGGAGGCAGCAGUGGGGAAUCUUGGACAAUGGGCGAAAGCUUGACGCAGCAAUGCCGCGUGAGUGAUGAAGGUCUUCGGAUCGUAAAGCUCUGUUAUUAGGAAAGAACAAAAGUAUGUGAAACUAUGGACGUUUUGACGGUACCUAAAGAAAAAGCCACGGCUAACUUCGUG
RNAcentral lists this ribosomal RNA (497 nucleotides) under uncultured bacterium. Its description in RNAcentral is "partial 16S ribosomal RNA". It matches the Rfam family "Bacterial small subunit ribosomal RNA", at positions 28 to 507 of the family's 1533-position model. The record is from RNAcentral.